Molecule: transfer RNA, 71 nt
Filed under: Streptosporangium album
Lineage: Bacteria; Bacillati; Actinomycetota; Actinomycetes; Streptosporangiales; Streptosporangiaceae
Description: tRNA-Ile
Source: RNAcentral
GGGCAUGAUUGUCGGUUGUAGCGAGCGGGACUCAUAAUCCCUGGGUCGCGGGUUCGAGUCCCGCCCGCCCU